GAUCCUCCUUUCUCGAGCCUUCUGUAGAAGACUGCCCUUUAGGAAACUCCGCAUUGAAAGAGACCUAAAGAUAAAAAAAAGUAAAAAAAAAAAGACAACACCCCCAUACCUAGUAAGGUUAUUUCAUGGUAAGGCACGGGAGGGGCUUCAACCUUCGAUUGGAAUACGGAUGAGAUCCCUACACGGGGGCCCCCGUCUAUAAUACAAAUUAAAGCAUUGGUACACGACUUCGAAAGAAAGGAUUUAUACUUCUUAAUUCUCAUCCGCCG
RNAcentral lists this long non-coding RNA (269 nucleotides) under Panax ginseng (ginseng). Its description in RNAcentral is "long non-coding RNA (PGIN_LNC014569)". The record is from RNAcentral. Lineage: Eukaryota; Viridiplantae; Streptophyta; Magnoliopsida; Apiales; Araliaceae.